This 274-nucleotide ribosomal RNA is filed under the name uncultured bacterium. RNAcentral's name for it is "partial 16S ribosomal RNA". It matches the Rfam family "Bacterial small subunit ribosomal RNA", at positions 523 to 796 of the family's 1533-position model. The record is from RNAcentral.
AUACGGAGGUUCCGAGCGUUAUCCGGAAUCAUUGGGUUUAAAGGGUCCGUAGGCGGGAAUCUAAGUCAGUGGUGAAAUCUUGCAGCUCAACUGUAAAAUUGCCAUUGAUACUGGAUUUCUUGAAUUAGUGUGAAGUGGUUAGAAUGUGUAGUGUAGCGGUGAAAUGCAUAGAUAUUACACAGAAUACCAAUUGCGAAGGCAGAUCACUAACACUAUAUUGACGCUGAGGGACGAAAGCGUGGGGAGCGAACAGGAUUAGAAACCCCUGUAGUCC